CUGUGAUGUCCUAUGUUCAAAUCUGCAGUUUUAUAGUAAUAUUUAGUUAUUUUCUGUCUGAUUAUUUUACUUUGUAACUUAUAACUUUGUACAUUAAACCACAAUUUCUCCUUUUUCGCAGCUCUUCCUUCAGCUAAUCUAAUAGCGAAUAAACACACGAUCACAGAGUCAGACUCAGUUACGCUGCAUUGUCAGACUCCGUCAUAUAUUGCUGUGGAUCAGUGUUAUUUCUAUUCUGAUCGAGGACAAACUUCUAAAAUCUUCCCCUGCCUGCAGACACUGACAGGAACUGAUCUACUGUCUAUGUCACGGCAGCGUCCACCUGCUAAUGUUGAAGUCAAGUGUUUUUAUACUGUAAAGUAUGAAGACACACGUCCUCCAUCUCCACACAGUGACUCAGUCUCUAUCGCUGUACACAGUAAGCAGCUGCCUUUAGAUUUGAUGGGAUUGAUUGAACUGACUUGAAUCACAGUAAAAACAUUUUGAAUUGUGACAAUCUGACCUGAAUAUCAGAGUUUAAACAUAAUGUACUUGAUGCCAGAAUUACAAACAUUCAUUGUCUUUAUGUUUUGAAGGUCAAAAACCAGAGAUGAGCUGUUCUGAUUUCAGUGACCACGUUGUCUUCACUUGCAUUUUGCCUGAAUCUGUUGAACAUGGUACAAAAUGUAACUUGUACAUUGGAGAAGCACAUCAUCCAGUUUCAACAACAACCGACAUGAAGAAAACCACCUCAAGAAAACAGCAGUUGUGUCAGUUUUAUAUCACGAGAGACGAUUUGCUGAAACUCCUACAAUCAGUUCAGCUAAAGGAGGCCAGCUGUGAUUACAGCCUGGAACAUGAACCCAACUUUUCUUCUGCUCGUAGUGAUGGAUGCAGCUUGACUGAUUCAUUUUCUGGUAUAAAAACACAAGGUCUGGUUCCACCUGAGCUGACAGUGACUCCACUGGUGAUCACAGAGUCAGACUCAGUCACUGUGAACUGUCAGACUCCAUCAUCUGUUCCUCUGAGUCAGUGUUACUUUAACUUUGGUAAAGACAAACCUGCCAAACCCUUCUCUUGUCAGAAGACGCUGACAGGAACUGAACUGCUGCAAAUCACAAACCAAAAUUCACCUGCUGAAGUUGCAGUCAGCUGUUUUUACCUUAAAACGCAUCGGGCUCCAAACAGUAAUGUGUUCUCCAUCAGCAUACGACGUGAGUAAAUACUGUGAUAUGAACUAAUGUCAGAAGAAAUAAUGUAACAAUCAGAUCUGAUAAUUUAAAAAAGUAAAUUAUAUAAAUUUACAUGCUGACACUUCACAUGUUUUAAAUGUUAAUUCAUUGUUGCUACUUGACAUGUUGUAAAUGUUAAUUCUUCAUCAGACUUCACGUUUAGAUCAACACAGUUUCAGUCAUGUGAUCCAACACAUCUUUAUCUUUUCAGUACCUCGGCCUGAGCUGACAGUGACUCCACUGGUGAUCACAGAGUCACACUCAGUCACUGUGAACUGUCAGACUCCAUCAUCUGUUCCUGUCUAUCAGUGUUGGCUCUACUCAGUGAGGGAUCAAACCUCCAGAGUCGUCUCUUGUCAUCAGACACUGACAGGAACUGAGCUGAUGAAAAUGACUCAUCAAAGUUCACCUGCUGCAGUU
This 1631-nucleotide long non-coding RNA is filed under the name Betta splendens (Siamese fighting fish). RNAcentral's name for it is "lncRNA (ENSBSLG00000000676.1)". The record is from RNAcentral. Lineage: Eukaryota; Metazoa; Chordata; Actinopteri; Anabantiformes; Osphronemidae.